CCUACGGGCGGCAUCAGUGGGGAAUAUUGCUCAAUGGGGGGAACCCUGAUGCAGCGACGCCGCGUGGGUGAAGGAGUAUUUCGGUAUGUAAAGCCCUAUCAGCAGGGAAGAACAAUGACGGUACCUGACUAAGAAGCACCUGCUAAAUACGUAACAGCAGCCGCGGUAAUACGUAUGGUGCAAGCGUUAUCCGGAUUUACUGGGGGUAAAGGGGGCGCAGGGGGGGCGUUAAGCCUGGUGGGAAAGCCCGCGGCCCAACCGCGGGACUGCAUUGGGAAAUGGCGGGCUGGAGUGCCGGAGGGGUAGGCGGAAUGCCUAGUGUAGCGGUGGAAUGCGUAGAUAUUAGGAGGAACACCAGUGGCGAAGGCGGCGUACUGGACGGUGAAUGACGCUGAGGCUCGAAAGCGUGGGGAGCAAACAGGAUUAGAUAACCCGUGUAGUC
This 442-nucleotide ribosomal RNA is filed under the name uncultured bacterium. Its description in RNAcentral is "partial 16S ribosomal RNA". It matches the Rfam family "Bacterial small subunit ribosomal RNA", at positions 338 to 795 of the family's 1533-position model. The record is from RNAcentral.